Long non-coding RNA from Cavia porcellus (domestic guinea pig), 12293 nucleotides. RefSeq lists it as uncharacterized. The transcript has 2 exons. NCBI's taxonomy places the organism in Eukaryota, Metazoa, Chordata, Mammalia, Rodentia, Caviidae. The record is from RefSeq and is a predicted model, not a curated record.
GGCUCAGGAAGGCACUUUCAGCUUCGGGGUCCCCAGGAAGAACUGCAGGACACGGUCAGCCAGGAGCGCCAGGCAGAAGUCUAGGAGCAGCACCUGGGCGAUGACCAGCUUGAACUGCCAGGCAUGUGGGAGGCAGCCUCCUGAGUGAGCACGCAGAACCAAGUGGUGCAACAUUGAUCUCCCCGGCUGCCUGUGACUGCUUGGCAUUGUCCAUGGCACUGCAGGCCCUGAGCGAUCUUGGGGACUUGUUCCUUUCUGUCCCCUCCUUGCCUGGAGGGUUGUCAGGCCACCUCAAAAGUGUGCCAACCAAGGCUUGUGACCCCACAUCCGGGUUCUGCACCCCACCCGUCACUUGUGGGUGAUGAUUCCCACCCACAGAGGACAUGUGGCAGGCCCGAACUGCCCACCCUCCCGCCCUGCGGCCACCUUGGAGCGGGAGAUGAAGAGGAAGCAGCCGGCCAGCAGCAGCCCCUGCAGUGUGGCCUGGAAGUCGCUGAACUUGACCCCCUCCAGGUAGAGGACGCUCUGGCUGUAGGCCAGGAUGAGUGCGUUCAGUGCCAGGAUCUUGAACAUCUGCAGCGUGGUCACCAGUGUGCAGCGGCCCUGCUUGAUCACGUGGCAGACUGGGGCGACAGGUGGGGCAUGAGGGGGUGCUGCACAGUGCUAGGCUGGGUGAGGGGCAGGUUUGGGUGUGGGGACUCACUGCACUGGAUGGAGGAGAGCUUGGAGGUGAAGGGUGCGGCGAUGCUGGCGUCGCCCAGCUUCACGAUGGGCGCGCUCUCGUCCUCCAGGUCCCGCAGCACUUGGCUCAGGCGGUCCUGUGGGCAGAGGGUGGGAUCACUGGAUGCUACCACCUGGCACUGCUCACCACCCCGAGCCCGCCUGACUCACUCUCUGCGAGGCCGGCUGCUCCUCGGGGGGUGGGAGCCCCGACCGAUGCCUGGCGGCCCUGGAGGUGGUCCUGCCACUGCUGCUGCUCAAGACUGGGCUGUCCCGGGGCCUCCGCCGCCUUUCUACAACACGCUCGGGGGCGUUGGCUAGGAGUGCCACCCCUGCAGGGACGGGACGGGCAGGAUACGGGUUCACCCUGGGACCCUGAGCUCCAGACACCCCCAUGCACCAACUUCCCCAGGGAACCCUACUGUCUAUGAGCUAAGUAGGAAAACCAAGAAGCAACAAUCCUGCAAAACCAGUAAAUGCCGUGCUGCGGGAGGGUCCAGGCCCCCAGCCUUCAUGGCUGUCCCUGCACUGCCUGCACACAGCAUGGGAGCCCACGAAAAUCCUCAAGUGUUUCUCUUGGUGUGGGACCAGUGGGACCAACUUAGGGGUGCUCUAUCACAGAGCACAGCCCCAGGUCUUUUAAGUUUUGAUUAGACACUGUGCACCUUUUGCAUGGAAAAAACCAUGCUCUGGUGGGGCAGCAUCCCCAGAGCCACUCACCCACGUCCGCAUGCUUGAGCGCGCCCACGUCAUUGGUACCGUCCCCACACAUGAGCGUCACAUAGCCCAGCUCCUUGAGGCUGGUGACCACGAACUCCUGUGGGCAACAUGAGCUAAGCAGGGGUCCAGUGCGCCCCAGGCCCAGCCCUGCCCGGCCAUGCACGCACCUUUUGCUUGGGGGCCACACGGGCGAACACCUGUACGUGGGGGAUAAGGCGCAGCAGCUGCUGGGGGGCGGUGGCCUGCAGGUGGGCCAGGCCAUCGCCUGUGAGGCAUAGGGCGUACUCCUGUGCCAGUGGCUUGGGGGAACUGGGGGCCAGGGGGAGUCUGAUGCUACCGUCGAUGGAACGCCAUGUGCACUGGCCACCUGGGGAUAACAUGGGCAGUCACUGUCCUAUGUGACAUCUGCUCAGGGAUACCCUGCCCAUGUGGCCUGCACGCUCGUAAGCCCCUGCUUAGGACUCCUCUGCCACGUCCCAAGGGGAGCAGACCCCCGGCCACCGCAACAUCCAGUACCCCUGGCCACCUACAGAGCAGGCGCCUCACAGCUGACUAGGGGCUCCUGGCCCAGUGUAGGGAAACAGGCUGUCCAAGGCCUGCAGAGUGGGUACCAGGGUGCUGCCAUGGUACCACACAGCGUGCUGGGGGAGGGGACCGAUGGGCCUGUGACCUUGGCAUCCUCAUAGACAACCACCACAGGUCAGGACUCAGCAACCUGGUAACAACCGAGUCCCCAAUGAGGGGCCACAGGUUGUGAGGGUUGGACCCGGGGGUGGAAGGUAGGAGCUGUUUGUUGCCGGACCCGGCACUCUGGCCACCCAGGGCUCACCCUUUUCCGAGGGGGGCUGUAGGAUAAGUGUGUGGGCCUUCUCGAUGAAGCGCAGCUCCUGUGCCACGUGGCAGGCAGUGAGUGGGUUGUCUCCCGUGAUCAUGACCACCUGGGGACGGGGUGGGGCUCAGUGGGGAGACCACAUCCUCCUGUGGAGGGGGCCCCAAGCCCCCCCAGGGUGCUGGAUGGGAAUGAUGGGUGCCUUCCCUCGGCCUAGCCUUGCUUCCUUCUCUGGUAGUUGGGGUCCCCUGUAUGUGUGUGUACAGUAUAUGUCAGUGUGAGUGUGGUGUGUGCAUGUUGAUGCAUGCCUGAGGACCUGGGGUGAAGCCUGUGCCUCCCGGAUGUGGGGGUGGGGUGGGGGGAGGACUGUAGAGGUGAUAUGGGAGGAGCUGGCUCAGCCCCCAGCAUUUCCUGCUGGGGCAGCCAGCACUUCCGCUGCCACUGCACCCAGCUGUGACCUGCAGUUGAGACGUCAAGGCUGGUGCUGUCCCCUGGCGCCCUUCCCUCCCUGCCCCACUGCUUACCCGAUGGGAUGCGUUCUGAAUCUCUCGGAUCACGGCCUUGGAGUCGGCCUUGAGCGGGCAGGAGACCACGAUGAAGCCCACAAACUUGAGGCUGCACUCCAGGGCCUCCCGCUUGACCUCCCUGGCCUGUAGGCAGACACGGCGCCUUACCAUGCAUCCUUCUCCCCUGGGUGGGGAGAGGACCAGCACCUGGCACCCAGAGACUGGGGACGGUCCUUGGUGUGGCCAAUGGCCCUUUCUUAUCUCCCGCCACAUGGCAGCAGGAAUGAUGGGGCAAAACACUUGCCCCCAGGAGCUUGUGUGGUAGCAGUGGACAGACAGGACAGCAGUGGGGUCAGGGCCAGGACAUGUGGAGAGGAAGCCCUCGACAAGGCCCGAGGAGGGCAGGGCUGGCACCCUGGGAGCGGGGGCUCUGGGCGCAGGACUAGGCCAAGCUGAGGGUGGGGACUGAGGCUUGGGCUUGGACUCUGCACAGAGCUGUGACCUCCCUCGAGUUCUAGAAGAAUCUGUGGCCGUAGGGGGAAGAGACUGAAUGGGGGCCAAGGUGGAGGUGGGGGGAGGGGACCUGGGGACGAGAGGACACUGGGCGAGGGCUGAGAAUGCCACUGAGGUCUUUGCUGGUGACUGAAACAGGGCUGGGGCCUUACCUGCUGGUGGGUAAGGUGGCCUAGCUCCUUGUACCCCAGGGCCAGCACGCGGGCACCCUCCCGGGAGAUCUCAGUGUGGAUGUGGUGGUAGUCAGGCGGGCACUGCGCAAACUAUAGGGAAGGCAGGGAAGGUGGGAACAUCAGCGGGUGCCCUGUGCCCCACCCUGCCCCUGGGCUAGCCGGCUCACCAUGGAGUGGAGGGUUUCGGGGGCCCCCUUCACAGCUGCGAUGUAGCAGAGGUCGGUGGAGCCCAGCUUCUCGUAGGAGGCCAGCACGGACAUUCGCUUUAGGGCACUGGCAAAAUGAAAGCGCUGGUGAAUUUUCAGCCCCUGAGUUUUAAUACUUCGGGGGAAUACUUUCUCAUCUGGAAACAAAUAAGCAGGAGUCCUGAGCGCUUGGCUCCAGCAGCAGCCAGGCCCCCGCCUCGCUCUCCACCUGGGCCCCUGGCUCCUCCCACCUCCCUGGGGCCUGGAGGUGGUCCAGGGGGUCGGGGACCCUGGUACUGUGGCUUUGGCAGGGUGGGACACUGAGGACGAGGCUGGUUCUGGGUCCUCACUGUGAGACCCCUGCCAGGAGGAGCUGGCCCAGCCCCUCACCUUUGGUCAGUGUCCAGUCCACGGCUGUUAGCAUGGCCUUCUCCAGGGGGUCACCCACCAGGGUGCCAUCGUCCAGCUGCAUGAGGGAGUGGCAGGAGGCCAGAGCUCGGUGCGUUUCCACAGGGAUGCUGGACACUGGGGUCACCUCCUUUCCGUCCCUGCAAGGAUGCGGAGCAGCUGUGGGCACGAGUGUGGCAUGGUAGUUGGGUGGCAAUGCACCUCCCCCUGGGCAGCGCCGAGCACGGCUGGAGGGAAACUGGGGUCCCUGAGUCCCGCACUGGCUUCCCGGGGGACCCCAGAGGCUACACACAGUACGUGGGUCCAUAGCUGGUACGGAUUGGAGGUGAGGGCAGAAAUGAAGGAUGUCCCAGGGGGAGGGCCUCUGACCAGUCUUCACCUGCAGGCCCAGGCUGGGCUCGAUUCCCAGGAUCCCCUCUGCUGGGCACCUCCGAGGCCCAGGGUCCCUGCCGCUCACCUCAGCCCAGCCACGCCACGCACCACCAGGCUGUCGCUGGUCAAGGUCCCCGUCUUGUCGAAGCAGCACACCUCGACCUUGCCGGCGAAGGGGAUCCGGAAGGGCUCCGUGCAGUACAUAUCUGCGGGUGGGCACCGCAAUUAGGGGUCUGCUGGGAUCCUCGAACUGGGUACCCCUGCCCCACCGGUCCCACUCACAGAGCUUGGCCAAGGCGAUGAGAGAGGUGUUGACGGCCAGGGACAGCUCGAUGGGCAGCUCAGGAGGCACAACUGAGGUGAGGAUUAGAGUGCACUCCAGGAAGAGCUUGUAGCGGUUCCGGCUGGGGUCCUUGGUGCCUGCGGAGGCAGGGCCUGCCAGGCACAGGGCUGAGGGGCUGAGGCAGGGGUGUGGGGUGCAGGCCACAGUGCUUACCCUCGAUCCACACGUAGGCCGCAGCUGCGAUGGCGAAAACCAGGAGGAAGAGGAUGAAGAUGAAGGUUUCCAGGUUGUUGGCUGUCACCCGCUUGACCCCAAAGAGGAUAGUGCGCAGCAGCCUGCCCUAGAGGGAAGAGACGGAGGCCUUUCCUGGGCACAGGCCUGGGCGAGGAGCCUCUCUUCUCAGAUCACCAAUGCAGGACAUGAAGUCCUUUCAUGGACUGCAUGAAACAUGGAAACAAGCAGUGCCUGCCUCGUCUGGUUAAGGAGCCACUCGGACACUGCAAAGGCAGGCAACAGCCCUAGGAGGCCUGGCAUUGCCCUGCUGGGCAAAGCCCACACUUUGCCAAAACAUCACUUACUGGGGUUCACUCCACACAUGUGGGUGAACAGUGAGCUUGCCAGCCAAGCGCUCCCCAAACCUCAGGUCAGAGGGACCUGGACCCUGGGCUCCCUGCUUUACCCUGGCCAUGGCAGAGUCCAGGGCCGAAUGCUUGGGAAACUGAGACACCUACCACUCAGGUGCCUACCAGCCAGCCCACCCACCCACCCACUGGAAGGUGCACCUGGGAGGUGUUGAAUCCAGUCCGCAGGACGUAGGCCACGCAUCCAUUGUCGACCGCUGGGGAAAGAAAGGGCCUGGUCACCCAAGUGCCCUCCUUCUAGUGCACUGGGUAAAGAGGGCGAGAAGGCGGGGUGGGGAGGCAGGGCAUCCCCAGGCGGCCCUGAGGCACCUACGCUUCAGGCCUGUGGUGGCCUUCUGUGGGGGGAUGUGCUGCACCACCUUGGUGCCCCCAAAGACCACGUGCAACCGGGAAUCAGCCUGCAGGUCCAGCAUGCGGUCAGGGCUGAGGUCCUCAAUGGGCUCCUGUGGGGGAGGGGACUGGAUUGGGAUGGUGGCUUCCAGGUGGGACCUGGGGCUCUGUCCCUUUCUCCUCAGUCUCCAGGCAUCCCAGGAUGCUGGAUGCAGCUGAGGUGUACCCCGAUCACACACCUUCAUCUGUGGCACUGACUCCCCGGUGAGCAUGGCCUCAUCCACGAUGCAGCGGCCACGCAGCAGCAGCACGUCACAUGGUACCAGGUUCUCCUGUGGGGAGCGGCCUGCAGGCAUGGCAGCAGGAUUGGCCAGGGGCCCUGGGGCUGGGAAGGCUCCCACCACCCGAGCAGAGCUGGCCUCACCGAUGGACACGAUGUCCCCGGGCACCACUUCAUCGCUGGCAAGGGGCCUCCACUUGCGGCUCCGGUAGACCUGGGGGCAAGGCAGCAUCAGCGUAGCUGCCCUGGCCGUGCCUGCCCUGAGUCCACACUUAUACCACGCCUGCCUCUUGCCCACCCUGGAGCCGGCAGUGCCCAGCCGCACCUGGAUGAGGUGGGGCUUGUUGCCCAUCUUUCGGAUCUCAGACAUGUUCCGCAUCUGCUGCUGCACCAGGGAUGCCUCAAAGGCCACUAGCAUGGACAGCGUGAAGACACUGUAGUACCAGUACUCAUCCAGGCACCAGAGCCCCACACAGAACACCUGUGGGGCAGGGAGGCAACGGGACAGGCAGCUCUGUGCUUGCUCCUCGUCGGCUCCAGAGCCCUGUGCAUGAAGCCCAGGGACCUGAGUGGCAUGGCUGUCUUGCCCAGGGGCUCUGGCUUCUCAGGUGACAGACAGGCUUUCUAGGCUGUGACAGAGGCAGGGGAUGAGGGACCCGGCCGCUGCUGUACCUGAAACACGAAGAAGGGAGCCGUGGCCCUCUCCUUGAAAAGCUCGGAGAAGUCGGGCACCACCAUCUCGGCCCUGCAAGAGAGCACGGCACACCUGUCCCCAGAGCUGGGGGCCAUCCACCCAGGGAAACCACACGGGGGUCGAAAGCUUGGAGAGCUUCCCCACCAAGGCUCCAUGCAACCACGGCUGCACUGGCCUCCUUCUGAGGCCUUCGGAGCUGCAAUGCAAGCAAACGGAGUGGGCAGGUACAGAGCUGAGCUCCACUGGGAACAGUGUCCUGGUGAAAAGCCCCAGAGCUGGGCCCAGGGCACCUCCAGGGCCUGAGCUUGUGUGUGGUGGCCCAGUCCAAGAGGUUAGCCAACGAGGGCUGUGCUUGCAGUGCCCUUUGACUGGUAGACACCUUGGGCUGGGACAGAAGGGCACAGUGAUGCCACGCCAUGGGAGCCAUGGACCACACAGCCCCCACCCCUGCCAUGGGCUUGGCCAUGAGUGAGGGAGGCAGUGAAGAGAUGGCCAUCCAUGAGGCUGACCUUGGGGUGGGGGAGCCUCCCUUGCGGCCCUGUGUUUCAGCAACAGAGUCAGGACGGUCUCUUGGGAGCUCUAUGGGUUUCCAGGUCGAGAGCCACAGCCUCAGGGGCUACCACAGGGUUGAGGCUGGACGUUCUGCUGCCCCCUCAGCCUCCCGAUAAGUUUCCCAGACUGGUUUUUGGCUUCAGAUCAUCCUGCCUGUGUCUCUGUGUGGCUAGGAUUGCACACAGUUAAUAUCUUCCUAUCACUUACUUAAGUUACUUACUUUCUUUUUUUUUUGAGGCAGUGUCUCGCUAUGCAGUCCAGGCUGGCCUGGAACUCAGUAAUACUACUGCCUCAGCCUCCUGAGUGUUGGGAUGAUGGGCAUGUGCCACUACACCUGGCCUCCACUGCUAUUUCUAAAGGACUGAGAUAGACGUUUGAAAGUAACAGAGGGUGGAAUUUUAAACACAGAAUUUAAAAUGAAGCAGGGAACUGGAAGAGACGAGGAGGAAGAGCUGACUGUUGUGAGCAGGGUUGGGGUUCAUCUCUGGGCCGGCAGGUGUGGGGACAGCAGCACAGGCUCCUCCACUGGGACCCUGAUGGAGGAGUACCCCAGGAUGAAGGAAGGCUCCGCCCGCUCCCUAGAUACUCUGGAGCAGGAGCAGAGCAAGAACGGGACACAGGUUGCCGGCCAUGAAGGACUCACUUGUUGCUCCCGAAUUUCUUCUCGGCGGCCCGGAUCUCUGAGUCUUCCUGGAACCCCCUGUGGCUCUGGUAGAAGGAGAACAUGUUCGCCACGGGGAAGGCUACUGGGAGGAACUGCUUCUUUUCCAGGGCGUCGUAGGAGUACUUGAUCUUCUGGAACUCGAAGGACAGCACCUCGAGCCCGUCUUCACCCUGUGGGGGUGAGGUACGCCAUAGCAGUGCCUGGGAGUCUCUCCUAAGUCCCUGCCCCUGGGUCCCCCGGCAGGCAAUCCCUACCUUGUCACGAUGCAGAGCCACGAGCUCGGUGGAGCCAUUGUUGGGGGUUGGCACCACCUUCACAAAGGUUGCCUUGCUGGGGUCGUACUCCUGCCAGACAAGCAGAGCACUGUCACUGAGCCAGCGCAGCUCACAGGCCCAUGAGCCCAUAGCCCCACGGGGAAGGAGGGAACAGUGGUCCCAUGGGCAAGUUUUGAACAUGCCACUGGGCUCCAGUGCUGGCUUGCCCACGCCCCAGACUGUUGCUGGGACAAGAUACCACCUCUGGUCUGUAUUAUAAAGCUGGGGUUUCGGAGAGCACCUGACACCCAGGGAUCUGGUAAUGCCAACUCUCAAACGAGAAGUGUGACACCAGGCAUCUAGCGUGUGCUGGCUACGAGGUCACGGCCCACCUGCACUCACAGUGCCUGCCUCUCCCCUUUCUGGUGGUCUGCCCGGAAUAUGCUUUCAUAGAGCAGGGUCCCCUGAUACUGCUGGCCUCUGCUUAAAUGUCACCUUCUCAUGAACCCUUCUGCAGUUAUCCCAUCUAAAGGUCCCUGGGCUCUCUGUUACUGCUCUUUAGCAACAAUUGCUGAGUGGCAAUUUUCUCUCCUGCUAACGUCAUAAAGGCGGCAGACUUUGUCCACUGUCCACUGCUGUUACCUAAGACACAGGAAGUGUUCUCUUUCUGUGAACUGUAUCCAUCCCUGGCUGCUCUGUUAGAUCCUGGGAUGAGUGGAGGGAAAGAGGGGGGCCUGGGAGCAGCAGGGGGAUGACCCUAACCAUGUGCCAUGCCUGAGGAAAUGCGUGGGCCAGUGAGGUAGGCAGAAAAUAGCAAUAAACACUGAACUACGGACUGCAGGGAAGGCAUGGUUUAGCUCAGGACCUACAGCAAGUGCUUGUUGGAUGCCACCUCAGCUUCUCUCGGCAACACCAGGAGGCCAGGUGUUAGGGCUCUCACUUUUUUUUUUUUUUUUUUUUUUGUCUUUUUCGUUUUUAUCGGUACCGGGGAUCGAACUCAUGACUGCCUGCUUGCAAGGCAGGCGCUUAUGCCGCUGAGCUAAAUCCCCAGCCCCAUAGGGCUCUCACUUUACAGGGGUCAGAAACUGAAACCAACCAGUAGGAGCAGUGGCCUGAGAUGAGGUGCAGGCCCAGAUCUGCCUCUAACUUGGCUUAGUUCCCCGCACUCCUCCAUCCCUGGAGAGGAAGUCUAGCAUUACAUUAUUUCGCUGCAGACCAGCAGGCAGCUGGAGUCUUGGGGGACCACCUGCAAGACUCUCCAACUUCCUUUUUUUCACUUGUCCCUUGCUAAGUCUUUCACUGUACCAGUCAGAGCCACCAAGCCUGGAAGCACCAGUCCUUCCAAGGGACAAAUCUAACUGGGGAAGGAAUGAAGACUCAAUGCACACUGACAGUGGGGAAAGGGGACAGUCUCUCUGUCCUUCCUGUAGCCCUAAUGCGGUCCCGUCCCUCUUGAGGCCAGUCCAUGCCUGGGAUUAGGCCAGAGGGUCGCUGGAGAUAUACCUCAAUGCCUUGGGUUCCAAACCUGAAGUCAUCUGAGUCAAAUGGCACAGCUACUACUUGUCAACUGGAGGCUCACUUCCGCUCUGUAUCACAGCUACCGCGUUUUGGGGUAGCACUCAUUCACUGAGAACCUCAACUGUGGCUCUCACAGGCGCUGUCUGGUGUUGCACCCCAGUCUCCCCAUCGCCGCGCUUAUCUCACAGAAGGGUGGCAGGAGACGCCAAGUCACUUACUCCACAAACAGCGCAUUUUAAACAGUGUCACCUGCAUCGCAUGCCCCUUUUGGUCUAGCACGGAAAGGAGCUGUGCCCUGGACAGCAGGACUUGUUUCGAGGUGGGGGAUCCCAUCCCACAGGGCUGCGGUCACUUUGCAAACCAAGGUGGGAGACACUGGGGCGGAGGAUAGGACCAGGAAACGGCAGAAUACCCGUCGGAAAGGAGUUAGAAUAACCGCGUCCUAUCAGACAGCAACCCAUGCUGGGCUCCGCGCUCAGUCUUUGCAGACAUCAGCUUAGUGAUCCUGAAUGACUACACCAGUAGGGAUUCCAGAGAUAGGAAGCGCAGUAACCCAUAUCACGUCAGGACUGAACCUCGGCCCGAUGACACAGGGGACCGCUGAGGGCCCGGGCCUAGCGGAGAGGAGGAUCCGGACGGUGCCAGGGGUCGGGCUCGAGCGCGCGCUUACCGGAGUGCAGGUGAGCGCGCAGUGCGCGUGCACGGACCAGUGCCCCGAGAGAACGGUGAGUGCAUGAGCCAGGCAGAUGGUGGCGAGUAUCAGUAGCGCGGCCUCCGGGAUCUGAACCCAGCUGCUGCCCCAGCCCCAGCAGCCGGCGGCCGCAGCGCCCAGCCAGGCUGGGUAGAGGAGCCCCGCGAACGGUAACACAGUGAGGCGCCGCAGAAGCGCGAGCCGCCGGUAUGGCCACACGGCCGCCACCAGCUCGUCACCGCUCGCUAUGAGGGCCGGCCCGGCGGCAAAGAGCGCACGCGGCUGCGGCCCGGACUUGGGCUGCCCACGGAGCCAGGACCCGUAAGACCGGGCCCCACAGGGCACCGCGUUGCCCACCGCCGCCAUCUUUCCCCAAGACCGGUGCUCGCUUCCGGGCGGAGGCCCCGCCCCAUUUCCGCCAGGCUACUUCCGGAGAGUGCUGGGCGCCGCCAUGAUAGCCUCAGUGUUGGAAAGCCCCCAAGGCAACAGAGGCGGAGUGGUUAGUUUGGGCGUUGCCAUGACAGUCUGAGGCCGGAAAGAGCGAUAGGAUGCCGCCAUGACGGAGAGGGCUUUAGAGCAGCUUGCCCGUGCUGCCACGCCGGAUUAUGGCCGGAAAAGACGAGCACCGCCAUGACAACCUGGGCCGGAAGAGGCGAACCCUUCUAGGGAAAAAAGAGCCAAUCAGGGAAAGGUUUUCUAGGAUGGGUCUUAGCAUGGAGGCGGGGCUCGUGGGAGUAGGUCUUUGUGGGGCGUGGUUUUCGGGGUGGGAGCUGUCGUUGGGCGGGGCUUGUGUGGACGGACACUUAUUGUAGGGACGGAAUUUGUGAGGACUGCCUGGUACCUGGUAUAGUCUCGGGUGAGGUCUCCUGGGCAGCCACGCCAAAGCUCCCAAAGAUGAUGGCUGCAGGGACCCAAACAUACGCGGCUCCACUUCUGGAAGCUAAGAGAAUAUGGGGUGCUGAAGGUGACUCCCCUCCAUUCCACCAAGCCACCAGCUGUCCUCUGCCCAGCCCAGCCCAGCCCAGCCCCUGUCAGUGUUCUGCAGCUAUGCUCUCAUGGGGCAGCUGGCGGCGUCCCACUCCUGUUGACCCACCCUGCUUGUGUUGGGGUAGGUAUGGGGAGUGGCCAAGGCUGGAGAUUGACCACACUUGCGGGACUAAAAGCAGUGUCAGCCCUGAGAACAGACACACCCCAGGUGAGACAGAUGAACCAACUGGUGGGCAGAGGGCUGUCACAAGACAUUGACCUGCCUGCUGUAUAAUACAUAGGCUGCAGUCACUGAGCAGUUCUUUUCUCCCAUCUGCAGAGAGAGCUCCACCUGGUCGUAGCUUUCUGCAUUCUGACCCUGGUCUUCCUUUCUUGCCCCCUGGGAAGUUUGAGCUGCUCUAUAGACGCAGAAGUAGGGGUGAGGGUGGGUACUUGGUGUGAGGGGUGGAGGUUGGAGGGCUUUGGGGCUGGGGGAUUGGGCCCGGACCCCUCCUGCUGUUGCCCAACGUAUGGGCUUCCUCCCAUGCCUUCCUACACUUAAGAGGGGACCCUGAGAGUCGGCGCAUGCGCUCCCACUGGUCCAUACCAGGGACUGCCAGCCCCAGCGUAAGCCAGCUUCUCUCUCUCUUUUUUUUAAUUUUAAUUUUUUUUGUAGUAAGAAUCGAACUCAGGUCCUCAUGUUUGCCAAGCAGGCACAGUACAGCUGAGCUAUAUGCCCAGCCUUAAUUUAAUGUUUAUCAGUACAUGUUUGGAGUGCAUCUGAUUACACACAUCAGGAGAAGCUGGUACUGGGACAUAAUGCAUCUUCAUUCUUUUUACACCCUUCUCAUCCCCUCCCUUUAUCUUCUCUCCAUCCCUUGAUCCCCUUCCCAUUUGCAAAAGAUCUUAUCUAUUUCCUGUUAGUUUUUAUUUUCCUUGUGUGUAGAGAAACCAUGCAGUAUUAAAGCUUGUGUGUCUGUUUUAGUUUAUGGUC